UACGUAGGGGGCUAGCGUUGUCCGGAAUCAUUGGGCGUAAAGAGCGUGUAGGCGGCCCGGUAAGUCCGCUGUGAAAGUCGGGGGCUCAACCCUCGAAUGCCGGUGGAUACUGUCGGGCUAGAGUGCGGAAGAGGAGAGUGGAAUUCCUGGUGUAGCGGUGAAAUGCGCAGAUAUCAGGAAGAACACCCGUGGCGAAGGCGGCUCUCUGGUACGUGACUGACGCUGAGACGCGAAAGCGUGGGGAGCGAACAGG
Molecule: ribosomal RNA, 253 nt
Filed under: uncultured bacterium
Lineage: Bacteria
Description: partial 16S ribosomal RNA
Rfam family: Bacterial small subunit ribosomal RNA
Source: RNAcentral